UGCUCUGAACCCACCUCCUACUCCCACUGGCACAUCCAUCUAGGCCCAUUCCUGAAGAUCACCACAGCCUCUAAGCUUGGUGCCCUCCACCACAUGGGCCGCUCGAUGUUGCCCUGAUAUUGCCAUUCUUUGCUGCUACAUCUCAGUCCCUGAUCCUGUCUCCUUUCCUAAACCCAUCUGCUGUCUGUUGUCACCAUAGUUUCUUGGUAUCCCAAAGAACUGAGCAAGAUACUCAGAAAUUGAAGUGAAAAUCUGGCACCAUGCACCUCCUGGCUCUUGUCCAAAGUGGCAAUGACUAUGAAAAGCAAACCUUUUGAAUCAUCUCAGGAUAUUGAGGCAACCACAAUAGUUCAAUGAAACACACAAAGGAAGACUUCCAGACCUGGAAAGAAUGAUGGGAUUUCAGCACUCAUAGCUUUGGAACCUUGAAAUUAAAAAAAUCAUCAUAUGAUAUGUACUGUCAAGAUUAUCUGAGUGUUUACCGAAGGAGGAAUUUCAGAUUAUGCAGUCAAAAGUCUCGCUGAUAUUACAGUUGAUCGACUGACUGCUACUCUGUAACUUGAGCCUCA
This is a long non-coding RNA of Octodon degus (degu), 569 nucleotides long. RefSeq lists it as uncharacterized. NCBI's taxonomy places the organism in Eukaryota, Metazoa, Chordata, Mammalia, Rodentia, Octodontidae. The transcript is spliced from 3 exons. The record is from RefSeq and is a predicted model, not a curated record.